Molecule: ribosomal RNA, 404 nt
Filed under: bacterium Ellin608
Lineage: Bacteria; Pseudomonadati; Acidobacteriota; Terriglobia; Terriglobales; Acidobacteriaceae
Description: bacterial SSU rRNA
Rfam family: Bacterial small subunit ribosomal RNA
Source: RNAcentral
AAUCAACGCUGGCGGCGUGCCUAACACAUGCAAGUCGCACGAGAAAGUGGAGCAAUCCAUGAGUACAGUGGCGCACGGGUGAGUAACACGUGAAUGAUCUACCUCCGAGUGGGGAAUAACCUAGAGAAAUCUGGGCUAAUACCGCAUAACACUUACGAGUCAAAGCAGCAAUGCGCUUGGAGAGGAGUUCGCGGCCGAUUAGUUAGUUGGCAGGGUAAUGGCCUACCAAGACGAUGAUCGGUAUCCGGCCUGAGAGGGCGCACGGACACACUGGAACUGAAACACGGUCCAGACUCCUACGGGAGGCAGCAGUGGGGAAUUUUGCGCAAUGGGGGAAACCCUGACGCAGCAACGCCGCGUGGAGGAUGAAAUCCCUUGGGAUGUAAACUCCUUUCGAUSRRGAA